GACGAACGCUGGCGGCGUGCUUAACACAUGCGAGUCGAACGGAAAGGCCCCUUUGGGGGUACUCGAGUGGCGAACGGGUGAGUAACACGUGAGUAACCUGCCCUUGACUUCGGGAUAACUUCAGGAAACUGGGGCUAAUACCGGAUAGGAAUCCUUGCUGCAUGGUGGGGGUUGGAAAGCUUCGGCGGUUUUGGAUGGACUCGCGGCUUAUCAGCUUGUUGGUGGGGUAGUGGCUUACCAAGGCUUUGACGGGUAGCCGGCCUGAGAGGGCGACCGGCCACAUUGGGACAGAGAUACGGCCCAGACGACUACGGGAGGCAGCAGUGGGGAAUAUUGCACAAUGGGCGGAAGCCUGAUGCAGAAACGCCGCGUGCGGGAUGACGGCCUUCGGGUUGUAAACCGCUUUCAGCAGGGGCGAAGCUUGUGGUGACGGUACCUGCAGAAGAAGCACCGGCUAACUACGUG
Molecule: ribosomal RNA, 465 nt
Filed under: uncultured bacterium
Lineage: Bacteria
Description: partial 16S ribosomal RNA
Rfam family: Bacterial small subunit ribosomal RNA
Source: RNAcentral